UACGUAGGGUGCGAGCGUUGUCCGGAAUUAUUGGGCGUAAAGGGCUCGUAGGCGGUUUGUCGCGUCGGGAGUGAAAACCCAGGGCUUAACCCUGGGCUGGCUUCCGAUACGGGCAGACUAGAGGUAUGCAGGGGAGAACGGAAUUCCUGGUGUAGCGGUGAAAUGCGCAGAUAUCAGGAGGAACACCAACAGCGAAGGCAGCACUCUGGGCCGGUACUGACGCUGAGGCGCGAAAGCGUGGGGAGCGAACGGG
RNAcentral lists this ribosomal RNA (253 nucleotides) under uncultured bacterium. RNAcentral's name for it is "partial 16S ribosomal RNA". It matches the Rfam family "Bacterial small subunit ribosomal RNA", at positions 524 to 776 of the family's 1533-position model. The record is from RNAcentral.